GACGAGCGCUGGCGGCGUGCUUAACACAUGCAAGUCGAACGGGAGUAUUGAAGAAGCUUGCUUUAGAGAUACUUUAGUGGCGGACGGGUGAGUAACGCGUGAGGAGCUGUCCAAUGCAGGGGGACAACAGUUGGAAACGACUGCUAAUACCCCAUAAGCCGAGAGGUAAAAGGAUUUAUCCGGCAGAGGAGGUACUCGCGUCCUAUCAGCUAGUAGGUGAGGUAACGGCUCACCUAGGCGAAGACGGGUAGCCGGCCUGAGAGGGCGAACGGCCACACUGGAACUGAGAUACGGUCCAGACUCCUACGGGAGGCAGCAGUGGGGAAUAUUGGGCAAUGGGGGGAACCCUGACCCAGCGACGCCGCGUGGGUGAAGAAAUCCUUCGGGAUGUAAAGCCCUGUUGUAUGGGAAGAGCGGAAGACGGUACCAUACGAGGAAGCCCGGCAAACUACGUGCCAGCAGCCGCGGUAAU
This 472-nucleotide ribosomal RNA is filed under the name uncultured bacterium. RNAcentral describes it as "bacterial SSU rRNA". It matches the Rfam family "Bacterial small subunit ribosomal RNA", at positions 28 to 524 of the family's 1533-position model. The record is from RNAcentral.